GAUGAACGCUAGCUACAGGCUUAACACAUGCAAGUCGAGGGGAAACGGCAUCGAAAGCUUGCUUUUGAUGGGCGUCGACCGGCGUACGGGUGAGUAACGCGUAUCCAACCUGCCCAUCACUUGGGAAUAACCUUGCGAAAGUAAGACUAAUGCCCAAUGACAUCCCACGAAGGCUUCCGAAUGGGAUUAAAGAUUUAUCGGUGAUGGAUGGGGAUGCGUCUGAUUAGCUUGUUGGCGGGGUGACGGCCCACCAAGGCAACGAUCAGUAGGGGUUCUGAGAGGAAGGUCCCCCACAUUGGAACUGAGACACGGUCCAAACUCCUACGGGAGGCAGCAGUGAGGAAUAUUGGUCAAUGGGCGAGAGCCUGAACCAGCCAAGUAGCGUGCAGGAUGACGGCCCUAUGGGUUGUAAACUGCUUUUAUAAGGGAAUAAAGUGGGUCACGUGUGACUUUUUGCAUGUACCUUAUGAAUAAGGACCGGCUAAUUCCGUG
This 492-nucleotide ribosomal RNA is filed under the name uncultured bacterium. RNAcentral's name for it is "partial 16S ribosomal RNA". It matches the Rfam family "Bacterial small subunit ribosomal RNA", at positions 28 to 507 of the family's 1533-position model. The record is from RNAcentral.